UACGUAGGGGGCUAGCGUUGUCCGGAUUUAUUGGGCGUAAAGAGCGUGUAGGCGGCCAGGUAGGUCUGCUGUGAAAACUCGAGGCUCAACCUCGAGAUGUCGGCGGAAACCAUCUGGCUAGAGUCCGGAAGAGGAGAGUGGAAUUCCUGGUGUAGCGGUGAAAUGCGCAGAUAUCAGGAGGAACACCAAUAGCGAAGGCAGCUCGCUGGGACGUUACUGACACUAAGGCGCGAAAGCGUGGGGAGCGAACAGG
This 253-nucleotide ribosomal RNA is filed under the name uncultured bacterium. RNAcentral's name for it is "partial 16S ribosomal RNA". It matches the Rfam family "Bacterial small subunit ribosomal RNA", at positions 524 to 776 of the family's 1533-position model. The record is from RNAcentral.